GACGAACGCUGGCGGCGUGCUUAACACAUGCAAGUCGAGCGGUAAGGCCCUUUCGGGGGUACACGAGCGGCGAACGGGUGAGUAACACGUGGGUGACCUGCCCUCAGCUCUGGGAUAAGCCUGGGAAACCGGGUCUAAUACCGGAUAUGACUCCAUGACGCAUGUUGUGGGGUGGAAAGCCUUGUGCGGCUGAGGAUGGGCCCGCGGCCUAUCAGCUUGUUGGUGGGGUGAUGGCCUACCAAGGCGACGACGGGUAGCCGGCCUGAGAGGGCGACCGGCCACACUGGGACCGAGACACGGCCCAGACU
RNAcentral lists this ribosomal RNA (308 nucleotides) under uncultured bacterium. RNAcentral describes it as "bacterial SSU rRNA". It matches the Rfam family "Bacterial small subunit ribosomal RNA", at positions 28 to 337 of the family's 1533-position model. The record is from RNAcentral.